AACGGAGGGUGCGAGCGUUGUCCGGAAUCACUGGGCGUAAAGGGCGCGUAGGCGGCCUGAUAAGUAGGGGGUGAAAUCCUGCGGCUUAACCGCAGGGCUGCCUUCUAAACUGUCAGGCUCGAGCACAGUAGAGGCAGGUGGAAUUCCCGGUGUAGCGGUGGAAUGCGUAGAGAUCGGGAAGAACAUCAGUGGCGAAGGCGGCCUGCUGGGCUGUUGCUGACGCUGAGGCGCGACAGCGUGGGGAGCAAACAGG
Molecule: ribosomal RNA, 253 nt
Filed under: uncultured bacterium
Lineage: Bacteria
Description: partial 16S ribosomal RNA
Rfam family: Bacterial small subunit ribosomal RNA
Source: RNAcentral